AAGCAUUGUGAGGCUUGUGCCUCUGCAGAGAAAUCCUGCAAAUCUAUGCAUGAUACACCUCUUCUGAGAUGCAUCAUGCACGGGUGAGUGUUUAUCUUCACAGAGAUGACAGUCAGAGAGGACAUGACCAGCCACAAAAGUCAUCUUCAUCAUUUAAUUAAACAAUUGAACACACCUUGCCUGGUGAUGCUGUCUGCUCAAGACAGAGCAGAAAUGAAUGCUCUAUAAUCUCAGUGCUGAGCAGCAGCUGAGUCUGCAGAGAUGCAG
Molecule: small RNA, 267 nt
Filed under: Histoplasma ohiense
Lineage: Eukaryota; Fungi; Ascomycota; Eurotiomycetes; Onygenales; Ajellomycetaceae
Description: hypothetical lncRNA
Source: RNAcentral